Long non-coding RNA from Chinchilla lanigera (long-tailed chinchilla), 266 nucleotides. RefSeq lists it as uncharacterized. The record is from RefSeq and is a predicted model, not a curated record. The transcript has 3 exons. NCBI's taxonomy places the organism in Eukaryota, Metazoa, Chordata, Mammalia, Rodentia, Chinchillidae.
CUGGGAUUACAGGCAUGCACCACCACGUUUGCUUGUGUCCAUCAUGCCUUUGUGAGAAAAGAAAAUUUCAGUCACUUGACCUCUUCUCAUAAACUGGACAUCCUUCCAGGCUUUCGUCUCUCUGUCUCGCUUCCCCACUCCCUUCCAGUUCUUCCUGGGAUCACCUCCUAAGUGUGCCGUGUGCCCUCACGUCUUGGUUUGGGGUCUGCUUCUGCAGAAACACAAUCUAAAUCAAGUGACAUCAAUAAUAGGAGAAAACACAAAAA